This 82-nucleotide transfer RNA is filed under the name Procavia capensis (Cape rock hyrax). RNAcentral's name for it is "tRNA-Ser (TGA) (tRNA-Ser-TGA-1-1)". It matches the Rfam family "tRNA". From Rfam's summary of the family: Transfer RNA (tRNA) molecules are approximately 80 nucleotides in length. Their secondary structure includes four short double-helical elements and three loops (D, anti-codon, and T loops). The record is from RNAcentral. Lineage: Eukaryota; Metazoa; Chordata; Mammalia; Hyracoidea; Procaviidae.
GUAGUCGUGGCCGAGUGGUUAAGGCGAUGGACUUGAAAUCCAUUGGGGUUUCCCCUCGCAGGUUCGAAUCCUGCCGACUACG